Non-coding RNA from Physcomitrium patens, 1242 nucleotides. The record is from RefSeq and is a predicted model, not a curated record. NCBI's taxonomy places the organism in Eukaryota, Viridiplantae, Streptophyta, Bryopsida, Funariales, Funariaceae.
UGCCGAGAUUCAGGGAAGCUACAGUGCAGACCUUGCUAGGUCCGAUGGUUCUGUCAUCAGCGUCGUUCGUCACUGACGUAGGCCGUGAUGAGGCUCCAUAGCAUGUCAUUGAGUUAGACAGUGGCACUGGCAACUCGGACGCGCUUCAAGACGGCGAGAGGAGCGGAAGAAAGAGUUGAGUACGGAUCUUUCGGUUGGCAUUCUAUUCGACCCACGAGAGUUGACACACUCUAACGACUUCUCACUAGCAUGAGAAAAUCGCAGUCUGGCAUGAGACACCGUCGUCUACUUUCUCGGGUUUUGAGGCCUGAUAGUUAGGGUGGUUGAAGUCCUCCCAGGAAACAAAUGCGAUGUUCUAAUCCCUUCUCUGCUUCAGUCCAUCGCCGGUCACUACCGCUUACGGCUCUACGCAUGCACUUGCCAUCUGAAGAGGACCGCAUUCUGAAUUUCCUGGGCAAUGAGCACCGGCUCAAUUAUGAGAAACAAGCUUACGGCGGGGUUUGUUCAGUUCGGAAUUUUGGUCGACCCCAAACGGUGUGUGGAUUGAAUGGCUUCUGGGGAUCAACACACAGGGUUUCGAGAAUGACACAGUGUGCAGUUUGAAAUCUGCUAAAGCAAGGAAAAUCGUAUUUUGCCCUCUAACAUAACAAUCACUCUUGACCUUAAAAAACAGUGAUAUUCUGAGGUUGAAUUCAGUAUCUUAUGUAGUUUCGAUCCCAGCAUCAGCCAUAUUACGAGGUGGGGAGCUUUUUUCUCGAACCCUACGAUGCGAGCUGGUUGUGGCAACAUCGCAAGUCAAGAGAAUCUAGAGUGUGGGUCAUUGCCUGCUGCAUAUUGACGCUCUACUAAAACCUUCACAAUUCGGUGCUGAAACCUCAACACAACAGCUACCUGCACUGGUAAUGUUUCAUGCAGUUUACCGUCAACGCUGCCAUGCAACAGAUUGUGAUGAGGUUGGGGUUAGAGUGUUUAGGGUUUAAAGGAUUUUUUUGCUUGUUAGAAUAGAGUACACAGUUAGUGAUCCCAUCGUCCUUAUUACCCAACAAGAGGUUGUAGAAUCCUACAAUUGCAUCAAGCAGUCCAGUGAAGUAUGAGGUCCUGGUUAUUAGAUGCCAUUCUACUUAUCUUUUGCAAACCCUAAAACAGUUCCUUUGGAUAUCCCAUCUCCUCCUCUCGUUAGGGCAAAAUUACAUGUUUGAAUGGGCAAGCUUCAAUGCAUGCAACCCACUUCUUCUUUUUUUC